This is a small nucleolar RNA of Trichomycterus rosablanca, 128 nucleotides long. RefSeq annotates it as small nucleolar RNA SNORA63. Lineage: Eukaryota; Metazoa; Chordata; Actinopteri; Siluriformes; Trichomycteridae. The record is from RefSeq and is a predicted model, not a curated record. The transcript has a single exon.
GUGCAGGUUAAGUUACAUAACAGCUGUUCUGUGCUGUUCUGUCGUUCCCCCUGCAAAAAGAAAAAUGUUUCUUUCUAUCCCUGUGUGCCAGUGAUCUCCGGCAUGCAGGGACGCUUAGUCUCAGACAC